CUAUCUCCAAACCCUUGUUCCUGGCUUCAAGAGCAACAUAUUCAUGAGAAUUAGCAAGCUGAUUUCGCAAUGGGUAGUUGUGAGAAAUAUUAAAUCGAUGGAAAAGUCCACAGAUGAGACGACGGCAUUAAGAAAAAUCAAAAGGCCCUUCAACUACCUAACACCAUGAAAACGAGAAACGAAUUCAGACACGGACACGGUACGAAAAUGAAAAAAAAAGAAAAUAAGGAGAAAAAUGAAGGCAACAUCAUCCUG
This is a long non-coding RNA of Vanessa atalanta (red admiral), 255 nucleotides long. RefSeq lists it as uncharacterized. NCBI's taxonomy places the organism in Eukaryota, Metazoa, Arthropoda, Insecta, Lepidoptera, Nymphalidae. The record is from RefSeq and is a predicted model, not a curated record. The transcript has 3 exons.